RNAcentral lists this non-coding RNA (26 nucleotides) under Homo sapiens (human). The record is from RNAcentral. Lineage: Eukaryota; Metazoa; Chordata; Mammalia; Primates; Hominidae.
AGGCUGUGGCAUUUGGAGAAAUGGGC